AAAGGAAUUGACGGGGACCCGCACAAGUGGUGGAGCGUGUUCUUUAAUUCGAUGAUAAGCGAAGAACCUUACCAGGGCUUGACAUCCUUGGAAUUUCUCCGAAAGGAGAAAGUACUUUAUUGGACCAAGUGACAGGUGUUGCAUGGCCGUCGUCAGCUCGUGUCGUGAGAUGUUUGGUUAAGUCCAUUAACGAGCGCAACCCUUAUGAUUAGUUGGAUUUUUCUAAUCAGACUGCCUCGGUAACGGGGAGGAAGGAGGGGAUGAUGUCAGGUCAUUAUUACCCUUACGUCCUGGGCUAGAAACGCGCUACAAUGGCCGGUACAAAGGGCAGCCAACCCGCGAGGGGGAGCAAAUCCCAUCAAAACCGGUCCCAGUUCGGAUUGCAGGCUGAAACUCGCCUGCAUGAAGCCGGAAUCACUAGUAAUCGUAGGUCAGCACACUACGGUGAAUACGUUCCCGGGUCUUGUACACACCGCCCGU
This 480-nucleotide ribosomal RNA is filed under the name uncultured bacterium. RNAcentral's name for it is "bacterial SSU rRNA". It matches the Rfam family "Bacterial small subunit ribosomal RNA", at positions 903 to 1397 of the family's 1533-position model. The record is from RNAcentral.